RNAcentral lists this ribosomal RNA (451 nucleotides) under uncultured bacterium. Its description in RNAcentral is "partial 16S ribosomal RNA". It matches the Rfam family "Bacterial small subunit ribosomal RNA", at positions 354 to 796 of the family's 1533-position model. The record is from RNAcentral.
GUGGGGAAUAUUGGACAAUGGGGGGAACCCUGAUCCAGCCAUGCCGCGUGUGUGAAGAAGGCCUUUUGGUUGUAAAGCACUUUAAGUGGGGAGGAGGCUUACCUAGUUAAUACCUGGGCUAAGUGGACGUUACCCACAGAAUAAGCACCGGCUAACUCUGUGCCAGCAGCCGCGGUAAUACAGAGGGUGCAAGCGUUAAUCGGAUUUACUGGGCGUAAAGCGCGCGUAGGUGGCCAAUUAAGUCAAAUGUGAAAUCCCCGAGCUUAACUUGGGAAUUGCAUUCGAUACUGGUUGGCUAGAGUAUGGGAGAGGAUGGUAGAAUUCCAGGUGGAGCGGUGAAAUGCGUAGAGAUCUGGAGGAAUACCGAUGGCGAAGGCAGCCAUCUGGCCUAAUACUGACACUGAGGUGCGAAAGCAUGGGGAGCAAACAGGAUUAGAAACCCGAGUAGUCC